ACCUCAGAGACCAAGUAAGUUUGUUAUUGGUAUGAGCAUACACACAAAAGCUCAUACCAAUAACAAACUUAUUUGGUCCCUAAGGU
Molecule: non-coding RNA, 86 nt
Organism: Podarcis lilfordi (Lilford's wall lizard)
Lineage: Eukaryota; Metazoa; Chordata; Lepidosauria; Squamata; Lacertidae
Source: the annotation of a GenBank genome assembly